GUCCUCGAUUCUUGGCGCUCUGAUGUUAGCAUUCAUCAGAAGUGUAUGCAUAAUCGGAGGUAGAGUAGGUUGUGCCAAGUGGCGCAGCAGUCGAAUCACCUUCGGUGUCAAGCUUGAUUUAUUGUUUGAUAUCAUCCUCUGGAUUCGAAACACUU
Molecule: small nucleolar RNA, 155 nt
Organism: Onchocerca volvulus
Lineage: Eukaryota; Metazoa; Nematoda; Chromadorea; Rhabditida; Onchocercidae
Rfam family: Nematode snoRNA ceN88
Source: Rfam